This 309-nucleotide ribosomal RNA is filed under the name uncultured bacterium. RNAcentral describes it as "partial 16S ribosomal RNA". It matches the Rfam family "Bacterial small subunit ribosomal RNA", at positions 504 to 807 of the family's 1533-position model. The record is from RNAcentral.
AGAGACAGCAGCAGCCACGGUAAUACAGAGGGUGCGAGCGUUAAUCGGAUUUACUGGGCGUAAAGCGUGCGUAGGCGGCUUCUUAAGUCGGAUGUGAAAUCCCUGAGCUUAACUUAGGAAUUGCAUUCGAUACUGGGAAGCUAGAGUAUGGGAGAGGAUGGUAGAAUUCCAGGUGUAGCGGUGAAAUGCGUAGAGAUCUGGAGGAAUACCGAUGGCGAAGGCAGCCAUCUGGCCUAAUACUGACGCUGAGGUACGAAAGCAUGGGGAGCAAACAGGAUUAGAUACCUCCGUAGUCCCUGUCUCUUAUAC